Small nucleolar RNA from Gossypium raimondii (Peruvian cotton), 106 nucleotides. It matches the Rfam family "Plant small nucleolar RNA R71". Rfam says of the family: R71 is a member of the C/D box family of snoRNAs containing the C (UGAUGA) and D (CUGA) box motifs. NCBI's taxonomy places the organism in Eukaryota, Viridiplantae, Streptophyta, Magnoliopsida, Malvales, Malvaceae. The record is from Rfam.
GGAUAAUGAUGAGGACACUUACGAAGUAACUCCUUGAUCGCUUUCAAGACUCAUACAAAGACUCGUCAUCCAAUUGUUGGAAAGUUGUGAUCUCGUUCCUUAACUU